GCAAAUUAGACUUUUUGCCUACUUUGGUGCUGAGAAGCCCAAACUACCAACCAAAGCUUUGGUUUUCUCUGAGGGCUGUCGGUACAGACGAGAGGCCGGGAUUGUUCUCUAGCAACCCCUGCCGGUUGACAAUAAAUGCCAGAAACUGACCCAGAGGCAUUAGUUCAUCCCCACGUUGGAGGGAAGUAAAAAAUGUCAGGCUGAGGGAGAGCAGGUAGCACCUGAACGGGUAAAACGUAGAUACGUCCGUGACCCAACUUCAACCAACCACGCAACGUCAAUGACCCAGGGGAUGCUGGAGCAACAGGAAGGAAGGAAUUGAUUGAACAAUCACGUGGAGCAAAGCCACGUUGUUAUUUAGGGCUACUACUUAAAUCAGAGAUCAUCUCUGUCUUCUUUAAGCCACUUCAGUUUGGAGGCUUUUUGUUCUAACAGGGAGCCAGAUCAAAACCCUGUCCUGGGGAGACAAUUGGGUAUGUCCAGGUGCAGUUGUUCAAUGUGAUUUAGUCCCUACCAGGAGGUCUGGUUGCCUGGGUUCAGAACAGCAGAGGAAAAAUUAGACAAAAGACACAUUCAGAAGUCAAGGUGCUCUGACAGUUCAGCAGACAUAUGACCUAACUUCAACCAGCAGACAGGAUCUGACCUAGGAAAGAUGAAGACAAAAACCAGAUCUCAAACAGAUGUAUUGUAGUUCAAGGUAGGGCAAUCAGACCUGUAGGAAGACUGAGCAGGCCACUGAAUUGGGCCCCCGAAAGAGAAGCCCAGACAUGAGGACUGGACCCACCCAGGAACUGGGAGUAAAGCAAUUUGGGGACAGUUGGGUCCUAGGCCUCGCCUCUAGGAAACCUGGAUUGCCCAGUCGGUGCUGAAGGUGUCUCAGAUCUGCUUGGAUCUAUAAUAUUGGACCUGGAUUUCAGGGGAAGUGUGUAUCUGGAAAUAAAAAUCAGAAAAUUUGGAGAAUAAAAGAACAAGGAAAAUUAAGGAAGGAUUUUUUUCAACCUUAAAAGCCACCUUGAGAAAUGAGAGAAGAGAGGAUUGGCUACUCGGUAUUGUGCUUUCUGCUGUCUACCUAGAAGACUUGAGGAAGAAGCCCCUUCACAUUCAUCAGUCACUUGAAUGACAUGAAAGACAGGAUGUUUCUUGCACUAACACCCGUGUGUUCAAAUGGAAAACCUCAUGUAACAGGAAGCCUCGCUAGCAAAAGACUAAUUUUCUGUGAAGUUCUGGCUAAACUAAGGAAAAGUCUGAUUAAGAACAAUAGAUGAAAUCUGAUUGUGACAUAUCAAUUGUAUGUAAAUUAGCAUUUCUGCUAAGAUUGUUUGAGAACAGUUUACUUUCAUAAUUGACUGAAAAAUGCUUCUUUCAAUUUUGCUGACACUAGUAAUGCAUCUGGCAAACUUUCCCUUCAGAGAAGUGUCAGGUUAAGCUUUAUCCCAGGUACUGUUUCAAACAAACAUAAACUCUAAUUUUGUGAGGCCCAUAUUAAUAAGUCUUUUUUAACUUUUUUUUUUUUUUGAGACAAGGUCUCACUCUCUCCCCCAGGCUGGAGUGCAGGGGUACAAUCAUGGUUCCACUGCAGGCUUGACAUCCCAGGCUCCAGUGAUCUUCCCACCUCAGCCUCUUGCAUAUCUGGGACCACACCCACAAUGCCCAGCUAAUUUUUUUUUUUUAAGUUUUUUGUAGAAACAGGUUUUACAUGUUGCCCAGGCUGGUCUCAAACUCCUGGGCUCAAGCGAUCCUCCCACCUAGGCCUCUCAAAAUGUUGAGAUUAGAGGUGUGAGCCACUGCACCCAGCCAGGCUUUACAAUUUUUAAAUAACUUUCAGCACAAAUACUUGUGAACCAGAAACAUUGGUUGAAAAUAUCUGUAACUUCUUUCUCAGCUCUAAAUUACUGAGAAGCAAAUGGAACCACAUGUUACAAAUAUUUCACAAGAACCAGUACCAUACUUUUAAACAUCUUGAUUAUGAUCUACUUGACAGUCAUAUUUGAGUUGUUGCUCUGUGUAACAUAAGAGUUGGGCUACACCUUCAGAAUAACUGGCAAAGCACCACCAACUGGCUGUGUCCUGAGAGGCUACCCAGCAACCUGGCUUUUUGUCUGAGUAUCAGACGCCCACUCUUCAUUGGACCAUAGAGGUUUUUCUCCCUAGUCCUCACCUCCAGCUCACUCCACCAAGUUAUUAGGAGUCUCUGAAAGAAACACGGAACACCCAGAGCAGAAAGCCAAUUUCUAAUUGGGCCAUCAGAUAGGGAAGAAAUGACAACUUCAACAAGAUUUCUUGUGAUCCUUGAGAGGUUUUCUAUGCAGGUACAGUCACAUUUAUGUCUUUUAAUAAUAGAGUUCAUCCAUCAUACAAGAUUGAUGAUCCCUGCAGAAGUUAAAAGUCUAGGAAUAAGAAAUUUGGGAAUGUGUUUUGCCACUUCAAUUGCCUCUACUGAUCAAGAAAGCAAAGACCCCCUAAACUUCAGGGCAAAAAGUGAAGAAUAAAUUUGAUUUGUGUUAGUGCCAAUACAGUUUUGAGUAUGUGUGUAGCUUUGAUGUGAUUAAAAACAUGGUCAUUCUUCUGGUUUAAAACAAUGAAAAUUAAUAAAUAGACUACUUACAACAAUUUUUUAAAAUCAUGAGCAUUUGGGUGUGUUAAAG
RNAcentral lists this long non-coding RNA (2645 nucleotides) under Homo sapiens (human). Its description in RNAcentral is "HSALNT0113843". Lineage: Eukaryota; Metazoa; Chordata; Mammalia; Primates; Hominidae. The record is from RNAcentral.